UUAAUAGAUAAUAUUAAUAUCCUAUUUUUCUUAAAUAUGAGAAGACGACAUUACUUAUGAGUUACUUUCACGUUGAACACACUAUGAAAGAUGGGAAAAAAUGUUGAACAGCAGUAAUAACAAGACAAAGAUUUAUUAUAAUUAUUAUUAUAUUCACGCCGUUCAUUUGUAUAUGUACAUUAGUGACAUUAAAAUAGAAUCGCUCUUCGAGGUCGCAACCCGUUUUUGUGAGUACUCCGACAAUUGUGAUGAAUUCCUCAUUUCUGAUGCAUCUUGUCGAAUCAGCUUUAGCAUCACGUUAAAGAAAGAGAAAUCAAAGUCAUUUUAUAAAUUCAUAACUACAGUUUGUUUGCUUUCUACAUCACAGAGGAAAUUAUGCUGAAGUACACGUUAGAGGGACACGUUUGUGAGAUAGAAAGUGAAGUAUCAUUUCAUCUUUCAGACACAGAUAAGAAAUUUUAUGCUCCCUAAGUUUCAUCACUUUAAUGUCCGAACACUUACCCAUUCUAUUUAUUAAUUUUACAAAUCUACGAGGACACGAAAGUGAUAUCGUUUGUUUCUCCUUUGUUAUCUCGCAACGAAACGAUGCACAAUUUCGAUGUAACUGAACAAUCCCUUGAUCAAUCAUUAUUCAUAUUCGCCAUUUAUCAUUGAUCUGUAACUUGUGAAAUCUUUAUAAUUUAGCCUAGCAUGCACUCUUCACGUCUGCCUCUUUUUUUUAGAAUACGAUAGAUUAGCGGUUUUGUUUACGUUGUUGUUGUAUUGUAGCGGGACCAGACCCGUGAGGGAGAUGUGGUGACGAAUCAACCGAGAGGCCUAAAUAAGGAAGAAGAAAGCGACGAAGAUGCGAUUACGGCCCAACCGCAGGGCGGUCCACAGAAUAGUUCGACGAACCAGCCAAUUUUCGCUAUGCCACCGCCGGCCGCCAUGGCCGACGAGAAUACAAAUUUGAAUAGCGGCGCUGAGAGAGUUAUUUACACAACUGGUAUUACGAGUACAUAAAUAUUAAUGCAUGUUCUGCGGGUCACCAUUUUUCUUAUGUAGUUUUAGCCAUAUUUACAUAUUCCUCUUGUUUUUGACUUUUCUUUCUUCUGAUCAACUACCGAGUAAAGUGGUGUCGCUCGAUAACGCGCAACAUAACUACGUAAUGUAUUGAUACUGUUAGCUAUUGCUUCGAUUAAUAAUUUAAUGGCUGUGCUGUGCGCACAAUCUUUUAUCCCGUAUCUUUUCGAAUCGUAGGCUUAUUUACAUAAUUUAAAACUGAUUGAGUAAGUUAAGGCUAUAACUAAAUUUUUUUUAUCGCCACAAUUUAUACGCAAUUUUAAGCAAACGUAGAGGAUUGUAUCUUGAGCAAAUUAUUAAUAAAAUUUUUUCAUUGGAUUACAA
Ceratina calcarata is the source of this 1386-nucleotide long non-coding RNA. RefSeq lists it as uncharacterized. NCBI's taxonomy places the organism in Eukaryota, Metazoa, Arthropoda, Insecta, Hymenoptera, Apidae. The record is from RefSeq and is a predicted model, not a curated record. The transcript has 2 exons.